GCCCGCUUGGCACAGCGGUAAUGCGCCUCACUAGUAGAUGCCAUCUAUUAAUGCGGAAGCAAUGAGGAGAUGACUGGUUCGACUCCAGUAGUGGGCA
RNAcentral lists this transfer RNA (97 nucleotides) under Hypoxylon fuscum. Its description in RNAcentral is "tRNA-Thr". It matches the Rfam family "tRNA". Rfam says of the family: Transfer RNA (tRNA) molecules are approximately 80 nucleotides in length. Their secondary structure includes four short double-helical elements and three loops (D, anti-codon, and T loops). Further hydrogen bonds mediate the characteristic L-shaped molecular structure. tRNAs have two regions of fundamental functional importance: the anti-codon, which is responsible for specific mRNA codon recognition, and the 3' end, to which the tRNAs corresponding amino acid is attached (by aminoacyl-tRNA synthetases). tRNAs cope with the degeneracy of the genetic code in two manners: having more than one tRNA (with a specific anti-codon) for a particular amino acid; and 'wobble' base-pairing, i.e. permitting non-standard base-pairing at the 3rd anti-codon position. The record is from RNAcentral. Lineage: Eukaryota; Fungi; Ascomycota; Sordariomycetes; Xylariales; Hypoxylaceae.